Non-coding RNA from Dujonia railenensis, 72 nucleotides. The record is from the annotation of a GenBank genome assembly. Lineage: Eukaryota; Fungi; Ascomycota; Pichiomycetes; Serinales; Debaryomycetaceae.
AAGAAUAUAGCUUAAUUGGUAGAGCCUAUGUCUUCAACACAUAUAGUAAUAGUUCGAUUCUAUUUAUUCUUG